AGCAAACCGCCGAUGGCCCGUGCAAGCGGGAUCAGGUAAGGGUGAAAGGGUGCGGUAAGAGCGCACCGCGCGGCUGGUAACAGUCCGUGGCACGGUAAACUCCACCCGGAGCAAGGCCAAAUAGGGGUUCAUAAGGUACGGCCCGUACUGAACCCGGGUAGGCUGCUUGAGCCAGUGAGCGAUUGCUGGCCUAGAUGAAUGACUGUCCACGACAGAACCCGGCUUAUCGGUCAGUUUCACCU
RNAcentral lists this RNase P RNA (242 nucleotides) under Shigella flexneri. RNAcentral's name for it is "partial RNase P RNA component class A". It matches the Rfam family "Bacterial RNase P class A", at positions 120 to 367 of the family's 367-position model. Rfam says of the family: Ribonuclease P (RNase P) is a ubiquitous endoribonuclease, found in archaea, bacteria and eukarya as well as chloroplasts and mitochondria. Its best characterised activity is the generation of mature 5'-ends of tRNAs by cleaving the 5'-leader elements of precursor-tRNAs. Lineage: Bacteria; Pseudomonadati; Pseudomonadota; Gammaproteobacteria; Enterobacterales; Enterobacteriaceae. The record is from RNAcentral.